CAACUCCUUCCAGUCGAGUGGCGGACGGGUGAGUAACACGUGGGUAACCUGCCCGGAAGUGGGGAAUACCUCGGGGAAACUCGAGCUAAUACCGCAUGACAUCUCCGGGACGAAAGUCCUGGCGAUCAAAGCGGAGCCGCAAGGUCUCGCGCUACCGGAUGGGCCCGCGCCCGAUUAGCUAGUUGGUGAGGUAACGGCCCACCAAGGCUUCGAUCGGUAACCGGCCUGAGAGGGCGAUCGGUCACACCGGAACUGAGACACGGUCCGGACUCCUACGGGAGGCAGCAGUGGGGAAUCUUGCGCAAUGGGCGGAAGCCUGACGCAGCAACGCCGCGUGGAGGAUGAAGGCCCUUGGGUUGUAAACUCCUGUCGGCUGGGAAGAAAUCGUACGGUGCUCAUACCACCGUGCGUUGACUGUACCAGCAAAGGAAGCCCCGGCUAACUCUGUGCCAGCAGCCGCGGUAAUACAGAGGGGGCCAGCGUUAUUCGGAAUUAUUGGGCGUAAAGGGCGCGUAGGCGGCCAUGCGUGUCUUCCGUGAAAUCCCUCGGCUCAACUGAGGACGUGCGGAAGAAACUGCAAGGCUCGAGUCCGGGAGAGGGGGGUGGAAUUCCCAGUGUAGCGGUGAAAUGCGUAGAUAUUGGGAGGAACACCGGUGGCGAAGGCGGCCCCCUGGACCGGUACUGACGCUGAGGCGCGAAAGCGUGGGUAGCAAACGGGAUUAGAUACCCCGGUAGUCCACGCCGUAAACGAUGGCACUUGGUGUCGCGGGUAUCGACCCCUGCGGUGCCGAAGCUAACGCAUUAAGUG
This 808-nucleotide ribosomal RNA is filed under the name uncultured Acidobacteriota bacterium. RNAcentral describes it as "bacterial SSU rRNA". It matches the Rfam family "Bacterial small subunit ribosomal RNA", at positions 80 to 866 of the family's 1533-position model. Lineage: Bacteria; Pseudomonadati; Acidobacteriota. The record is from RNAcentral.